UACAGAGGGUGCAAGCGUUGUCCGGAAUCAUUGGGCGUAAAGAGCGUGUAGGCGGCCAGAUAAGUCCGCUGUGAAAUCUCGAGGCUCAACUUCGAGCUGUCGGUGGAAACUGUCUGGCUAGAGUCCGGAAGAGGAGAAUGGAAUUCCUGGUGUAGCGGUGAAAUGCGCAGAUAUCAGGAAGAACACCCGUGGCGAAGGCGGUUCUCUGGGACGGUACUGACGCUGAGACGCGAAAGCGUGGGGAGCGAACAGG
This 253-nucleotide ribosomal RNA is filed under the name uncultured bacterium. Its description in RNAcentral is "partial 16S ribosomal RNA". It matches the Rfam family "Bacterial small subunit ribosomal RNA", at positions 524 to 776 of the family's 1533-position model. The record is from RNAcentral.